ACAAUGCCAUAAAGAUGCUUUAUCCAAGUUAUUAUUAGUAGAAUCAAUACACAAAACAUUAUUUCCCAAGUUAUCUACAACAGAUACAGCUUCAUACACACCAUCACAAGGUAAUGCUUUAAAAUAAAAGACAUUAUUAUAGAAAACAUCUAUAGAACCAACUUCAUUAUUAAAUGAAAAGGUAAACCCUUGUUUGUACAAAGCAUGAAAGGAAAUAAUAUUUCUUGCCAUUCCUGGCGAAUAACAACACUUAUUCAAAUCUAAACUAAACCCACUACUUAGCGAUAAAGUAUAAACUCCAAUCUUGGUAACAGGUAUAGCUUUCCUAUUCCCCAUGAUCAAGUUUAUCCUUCCUUGCUCCACAUCCUCACUUCUUCUUAGUCCCUGCAAGUCACAACAAAUGUGAAUACCACACCCGGUAUCAAGGACCCAAGAAUUAGAAUGGGGUGAGUUAUUAGAAAUGAUAGUGUAAAUACCUGCAUGGUUGGGUUUAACUUUCCCAUCCUUCACAUCUUGCUGGUAUUUUGGGCAGUUCCGCUUCCAAUGAGCUUUUUCAUGGCAAUAGAAGCAUUCAGCCUCUUUUGGGUCAGAAGAAGGAGUAAUGAAACCUUUCUUGGUUCCACUUGAAGAAGAGCCAUCAAGGGUCCGAACCUUGGUACCCUUAGAAGAGCUCUUUCUCUUCCUCCCUCGACUUUUCCCGAUUGCCAAAACCGGAGUAGAGUUUUGAGUAGGAGUGAUAGCAACCGACUUCCCCUUAAGACCUGAUUCUGCGGUCUUGAGAAGUCCCUGAAGUUUGCUGAGGGUGACUUCUUCCUUGUUCAUGUGAUAUGUCAUGCGGAAUUGAUCAUAGCACGAUGGUAAGGAAUGCAAAAUAAUAUCUAUUGCAAGAUCCUCCGGGAAGUUCACAUUAAGCUUCAGCAAACGAUCCACAUACCUUUGCAUUUUCUGCAUGUGGCUCGUGACGGAUUCCCCGUCCUUCAUCAUGGUUGUUAUCAUGGAGCAGAUGAUUUCAUACCUCUCUUGUCUUGCACUUUGAUGGUAUCUUUCCAUCAAAUCUUGGUGCAUUUCAUAAGGGUAGAAAUCCUCAUAAGACUUUUGGAGUUCCGCUGUCAUCGUGGCCAUCAUGAUGCAAGCCACUUUCGUAGCAUCCCUUUCAUGUGCCCGAAAUUCAGCGAUCUCCUGAGGAGUUGCAGUGGACUCAUCAAUCUCCUUAAGCUCCUUGUCAAGGACAUAUUCUUUGUCCUCGUAGCGGGUAAUCAUCCUGAUGUUUCUGAUCCACUCAUUGAAGUUGGAUCCAUCAAAGGUGACUUUCCCACACAAGUUCAUAAGGGUAAAGGAGCCAUUAGGAUUAGAGCCAGAAGCAUUGUUGAAAGACAUCUGAAGGAAAGAGGACAAGAUUAGUUUAGAUAUAAGAGAGUCCUUAAUAAAACACCCAAAUGUAAUAUUAAGGCUAGGAUCCAAUCACAAUAUAAUAUAACUUAGAAGAGGUAUGCCGUAAUCUAAGCUAUAUCAUAUUUGAAAGGUAGGUGAAUGACGAUUCACCAAUUUCCACCACGAAAACCGCAAUAUUUUAGUAUUAGGUUUUUGAAUGGUUCUUAGAAAUUCCUAGAUUCUUUGAGAUUCAAUGAACUUUUCAAAGGCAUGUUUCAAUCUCGAGUGUGCCCUCCAAGUUUUGUGACUGGGAUACCGAGGAUCACAAAACGAGGUGUGAAGUAACCAUGCAAAUCACUUGGUACCCUUAAAGUUUAUCACUCAAUCGAUGUGCCGGUUAACCACACACGCUCCAUCGAUACUAUAAUAAACCCUAAGUCACCCUUUACCUACCUUGUUAAGUCCAAGUUAGUGUGCCGGUUAACCACACACGCUCCACCAACGACUUAAUCAAAGUGUAAAGUGUAAUUUCAUGGAAUAGCACCUUAUUCACAUUUUUCCUAAAGUAACUAAGAUUGGGAAUUUAAUAAAACAUUUAGUUACUUUAUAAUAUUCAUCAUACUUUGAAUGAGAAUUAAUAAGUCCUUGUCUUACCCGUUCGGCUAACGACCCUCCACCGAUCAAGCAAGCGGUGGGUGAGAGUGGACACCCAUUAAGUCACCAUUUUAUAGGCAACAACCUUAUACCCACCUUAUAGACCGGCUUCGUGAAUGAGGCGUACUAGCGGUAAGACGACUUUGUUCUUAUACAUAUAUAUAUAAUUAUUAAAUCAUAAUAAUAUAAGUAUAAGGGUUGAAUUUUAACUUUUAAAAUUCUAGGGGUUGGAACUAAAGUUUUAACUUAACUUUACUUGUUCCAAAACUUGAGGGCAAGUUUUGUAAACUUUCAAAACUUUUCAUUUCUUGUAACUUAUGAGUUUAAUAGAGUAAUAAAAUGAGGACUUUUCAUUUUUCCUAACUCUUGUGUUCUUUUAAUGGUUUUUAAUCCAAGAGACUUUUGGUUUUCCAUAACUUGAGGACAAGUUAUGGACUCCAUUAAAACACAUUAUGAUCAUGAAUUAAUCUACCACAUAGGUUACAAAUAAUUCCUAUGAUCAUCUAAACAUCAUAAGAACAAGAAUAUGAAUAUGAACACUUUCAAGAAUCAAAAUCACAUUUAAUCUUUGUAAUUUUGAUAACUAGUUGUUGUAAAUGAGUUAGAAAAGACAUUACACCUUCUAAAAUAAGUUUUCAAGUACCAAAACAUUUUAGGGUAAUGAUUCUAAUCCAUUUCCAGCAACUCAAGUCGAAAUUCUGCACUCUGUCGACCCUACUCGCCGAGUGCAUAAACCUACUCGCCGAGUAGGUUGAAGAUACACAUGAACUCGACGAGUCCUCCCCAUGGACUCGCCGAGUCCAUCAGUCAGACAGCAAGAUUUUCGACUUUCUUCAACUUUUAAGCACAAAUAACAAACAAACAAGCCUAGGCUCUGAUACCACUGAUGGGUUUUGAGCAUUCUAACACUUCCUAAGUGUACAUGCAACCCUAAUAACCUUGGAUCUAUGUUUGUCUAAUUAUCAUGCAAAGUUGAAUUCCAAGGUUAUAUUCCUAUCUAGCAUACAUGGGGAACAAUUUUAACUUGAAUCAUAGAUAGAAUAACUUACCUUGUUGUUGCUUGUGUUCCUUGAAACCUUGUGAGCCUAGCACCCCAAGUGUGAUGCCUCAAAUGCUUCACACAACACCAAAUGCUCUUGGAAAGACUCUUGAGAUAACACACACUUCUCAAAAUCGGCCAAGCCCUCUAGUUUCUUAGUGUAGCCGAUUUUGGUGGAGAAUAUGAUUCUUAUAUAGUGUUGACACAUCUAGGGUUACACCAUGUAAACCCUAAUGUGUCAUGACUCUUCAUUUCCAUGACCCAUGGGUUUGUAACUCCCAUGGAGCAUCCAUGGAGCAUCCUAUGGGUAGAACCCAACUUGAUAAUCCAUGGAGCCUCUUAGCCCACUAUACAAGAUAUGGAUGAUUUACAUAAUCAACCCAUAUAUUUAAUUAGUUAUCCUUUGAUCACUUAAUUAAUUCCAAAUUAAUUCUUUGAUCAACUAAUCAAAUAAUAUUAUUAAUAUAUUAGAACUUAUAAUAUAUUAAUAAUCUCCAAGUGUUAUUUCUCUCAUUUAGUCUAUCCAAUUGCAUGGUGCCAUGCAACCCAAAUGGACCAUGCCGGGUCGGGUCAAGUACAAGCCCGAAAUAGUUAUGGACUUAGACACCUUAUCCAACAGUCUCCCACUUGGAUAAGUCUAAUAACUAUAUCUCUAGUACUUCAGGAACCGACCGGCAAUCGUAGCUCUUUCAAGGUCUCUCGGAACUGAGAAGAUGAUGGUACGCCAUUUAAGAUAAGUGAUCAUAUAAUCCUCCGUUCUAGAUAUCAGCCGGACAAAUACAUGGAACAUUGUCUUGCUUAUUGUCCAGCAUUUGUUUCCCGAUUUCCGAUUUGUUUGACAUAGAACUUAAUUGAACACAUCAACUUAGUUCUGACCGGGCCCGGUACAUGGGUCAAAACAAAAUCAUCGAGGGGCCCAGAUAUCAGCUUCUAAUCCAAGAAGGAACAGAUAAACUUCGACUCAUAUGUUUGUUCUACCACUCAUUGAAUUACACACAAAAGUACGUUUUAUAACAUCGAGUUACCAAUGCGGUUUCGUACAGUCAAUGCAUAACCAACUUGUAAGUAACAAAUCAUAUCUCUAGGUUUGAAGACUUAUAUGAUAUUACCGUCUCACGAUCACUCGAGAUAGAAUUCCAUGAAGUGAUUCCAGUGAGCGUGGGUUGAGUCCAAUGCUCAGAACUUAUGAGCACUCAUGAUUGUUGUAGCCUUGUCCAACACCUUAGACCUCUGCAACCAAUCAUGACAGUCUUGAUUCAUACCUACUUCCGACAUAUGACCGACUGUGGAGGUUUGAAUAAUAUGAUAUACCAAACAUAAUUAUUCUGGAAGUUAAAACAUGCAAAAGAAAUAUAGUAAACGAUCGACAUGAGAUAGCAACACUUUACUCAUAAAUAAAACACCUUUUAUUCAUCAUCUAAUCUCAAUUACACUUUACAAAUUUCAAGGUUAUAUGACUACUAAAUCUAAUAUAAUCCUUCAGCCCUAUGCUCCGAGCAUGCUGGAGAGGCUUAACCCGAUUCAGUCCCUUUGUGAGGGGAUCUGCUGGAUUCUCAUCCGAUGAUACCCUCUUUGCCACGAGGAGUCCUUAUUCUAUUCGAUGUCUGAUGAAAUGGUAUUUUCUGUAGAUGUGUCUGGAUCUCCCGUGAUCCCUUGGUUCCCUGGCUAAGGCAACAGCACUUUCACUAUCACAGAAAAUUUCCAUUGGCUCUUUAAUAGCUGGUACAACUCCAAGGUCUCCAAUGAAGUUCUUCAGCCAUAUCGCCUCCUUUGUUGCCUCACUCGCUGCUAUAUACACUAAUUCGCAAGUUGAAUCAGCCACCGUUUCUUGCUUGGAACUCUUCCAAGAAAUUGCUCCUCCGUUUAAGGUAAAGACCCAUCCCGACUGAGAGCCGAAAUUAUCACUAUCAGUCUGAAAGCUAGCAUCACUAUACCCUACAACUCUCAAGUCAUCACUCCCACUGAGGGUAAGGACCCAGUCCUUAGUCCUCCGUAGGUACUUGAGGAUAUUCUUUACCGUAGUCCAGUGUGCCUUGCCAUGGUUCCCCUGAUACCUGCUAACCAUGCUCAAGGCAAAAGCUACAUCGGGUCGAGUACACGUCAUAGCAUACAUGAUCGAUCCUACAGCCGAAGCGUAAGGUGUUCGACUCAUUUCUGCUAUCUCAGCCUCAGUGCUAGGGCUUUGUGUCUUACUCAAUCUGGUGUUACUCUGGAUGGGUAACUCUCCUUUCUUGGAAUCCUGCAUGCUGAAUCUCUUCAGCACCUUAUCCAAGUAGGUACUCUGACUAAGUCCAAUUAGUCUUUUACUCCGAUCUCUCAAGAUCCUUAUCCCUAAAAUAUAGGCAGCUUCACCAAGGUCCUUCAUAGCGAAACACUUCCCAAGCCAGGACUUUACUUCCUGCAGGGUUGGAAUGUCGUUUCCUAUGAGUAGUAUGUCAUCCACAUACAAUACCAAAAAGCUAACUAUACUCCCACUAGCCUUGACAUACACACAAGAUUCAUCUUCACUCCUAGAAAAGCCAAAUUCCUUGACCUUUUCAUCAAAGCAAAGAUUCCAUCUGCGAGGUGCUUGCUUCAAUCCAUAAAUGGAUUUCUCAAGCUUACACACUCUAUUAGGGUACUCGUUGCUGACAAAACCCUCUGGCUGACUCAUGUAAACAUCUUCAGCCAACUUUCCAUUAAGGAAAGCGGUUUUGACAUCCAUCUGCCAUAUUUCAUAGUCAUGAAAUGCAGCUAUGGCUAACAGAACCCGAAUAGACUUAAUCUUGGCUACNNNNNNNNNNNNNNNNNNNNNNNNNNNNNNNNNNNNNNNNNNNNNNNNNNNNNNNNNNNNNNNNNNNNNNNNNNNNNNNNNNNNNNNNNNNNNNNNNNNNNNNUGUCUUACGACCUGGUACAUUCUCAACCAAGUUCCAAACUUGAUUGUCAUACAUGGACUGUAUCUCGCUGUCCAUUGCCUCUUUCCACUUGGCUGACUCAGGGCCUGCCAUGGCUUCCGCGUAACUGUUAGGUGCAUCCAGGCCUAUAAGUGUCUCAUCACUGAUAAGUGUAUCACCUUCCGUAGUAAUAUGGAAUCCAUAGUAAUGCUCAGGUGCAUUCCUAACCCUUGUGGUACGCCUCAGAGGUACAGAUUUGUUAAUUGGCUCAACAGGAGUUUCCUCCUCAAGUUGAGUGCUAGGGUUUGAAGUUCCUUCGCCACACGACUCUUGAAUUUCUUCAAGGUCAACUUGCCUCCCACUGUUUCCUUGGCUUAUGAACUCUCUCUCUCUCUCUCGAAAGACAGCCCUCCUAGCUACAAAGACCACAUUUUCACUAGGUCUGUAGAAGAGGUAACCAAAGGAUUGUUGUGGGUAGCCGAUGAAAAUACACCUCUCGCUUCGAGGUUCGAGCUUAUCAUGAGUCUCGCGUCUCACGAAAGCCUCGCAACCCCAAAUCUUGAUGUGGUCUAGUUUGGGUACUUUACCAGUCCACAUCUCUUGAGGAGUUUUGGCAACUUUCUUUGUAGGGACUAGAUUAAGGAUAUGGGCAGCAGUCUCUAAGGCAUACCCCCAAAAUAAGAAGUUCGACUCAUCAUGGAACGAACCAUAUCCAACAAAGUUCGAUUACUCCUCUCAGCUACACAAUUCAACUGCAGUGUCCUGGGAAUUGUCAAUUGUGAGACAAUCCCACAUUCCCUAAGAUAGUCGAGGAACUAUGAACUAAGAUACUCACCAGCUCGAUCGGAUCGAAGCAUAUUAAUGUUCCUGCCCAAUUGAUUCUCGACUUCCUGUUUAAAUUCUUUAAGCCUUUCAAAAGUCUCUGACUUAUACUUGAUUAACUAGACAUAUCCAUAUCCACUGUAAUCAACAGUAAAAGUCAAAUAAUAAUGAUUAGCAUCCCUUGUGGCAUGUUUGAGGGGUCCAGACACAUCCGUGUCUAUAAGAUCCAACAAACCUUCACCCUUCUCACAAGAACCUGUGAAGGGUGACUUUGUCAUUUUUCCAAGUAAGCAUGAUUCGAAACUAUCAUCUGACUUUAGGUCAAAUGACUCCAAGACUCCAUCCUUUUGGAGUUGGCCUAUGCAUUUCUUGCUUAUAUGUCCAAGACGACAAUGCCAUAAUGAUGCUUUAUCCAAGUUAUUAUUAUUAACAGAAUCAAUACACAAUACAUUAUUUCCUAAGUUAUCAACCACAGAUACUGUUUCAUACACGCCAUCACAAGGUAAUGCUUUAAAAUAAAGAACAUUAUUAAAGAAAGCAUUAAUCGAACCAACUUCAUUAUCAAAUGAAAAGGUGAAACCUUGUUUAUACAAUGCAUGAAAGGAAAUAAUAUUUCUUGCCAUUUCUGGCGAAUAACAACAUUUAUUCAAAUCUAAACUAAACCCACUACUUAGCGAUAAAGUAUAAACUCCAAUCUUGGUGACAGGUAUAACUUUCCUAUUCCCCAUGAUUAAGUUUAUUCUUCAAUGCUC
This 7511-nucleotide long non-coding RNA is filed under the name Lactuca sativa (garden lettuce). Its description in RNAcentral is "long non-coding RNA (LSAT_LNC000936)". Lineage: Eukaryota; Viridiplantae; Streptophyta; Magnoliopsida; Asterales; Asteraceae. The record is from RNAcentral.